This 302-nucleotide long non-coding RNA is filed under the name Ananas comosus (pineapple). Its description in RNAcentral is "long non-coding RNA (ACOM_LNC042117)". Lineage: Eukaryota; Viridiplantae; Streptophyta; Magnoliopsida; Poales; Bromeliaceae. The record is from RNAcentral.
CCGUACCGUACCGUGCCAACAAGAUAACGGCACGAUACAGACCCCGUGCCAAUGGCACAGCUCAAAACCCUCUAUUUUUUAAAUUAGUAAGUAAUUUCCUCAAUAAAGUUCAAAAGAUGUGAUAAAAAGACAUAAUAAAUAGUUAGAAUAUUUUGUUGCUAAAGAAAAUAAAUAUUUCAUGCUAUUAUGUGUCGGCACACAAGAUUAUUUUUGACCGGCACGCAUCGGCACGGCUCGGCACGCACCGUGCCAUACCGUGCCGGCAAGUUUCCGACACGACCCCGUGCCACGGCACUUAAAUC